UCUCAGAAUUGAUCCCCCUACCCUGAGCUUAAGCUCCAGUAUUUAUACUGUAUUUACACACUAAAUAGCCCAUAUGUUUCAAGAAGACUAUGAUCUCACUACCAAUAGGGUUAAAAAAAGAGCUCAUUUACCUUACUCUUAUGUUCCAGAAAAGGGCUAUUUCACUUACACAUAGAAUUGAAACCAGGGGUUUUAAUUUACACAUAAAAUCAGAACCCAGGCAUUUCUAAUAACCCAGAAAAUAAAAAUCCAGAGUUUCCAGUUACUCAGAGGAUCAGAAACCAGAGUUUUCAGUUACCCAGGGCAUCAGAAUCUUCAGUUUUGAUUUACCUAAAGAAUAGAAAGUGGAGGAGACUAAACAAUCUAAUGGGACCUUGGUCUUAUUGUUAUCUCGAGGGGGGGGCAGUUUGACCCAGCCACCCUUAUAACUGGCUCUCUUCAUGGUUCUCUUAAAAUUUAGGCCUCCCUUGCGAGACGAGAAUCUUCACCAUCUGAAUCAUGAGUGCCGGUGCCCGUCGUCAGUCCCUUCUCUCUCCGUUACUGGACCUGGAUCUGGAUCUGGAUCUGGACACUCAUUACCAGCUUGUGCAUCUCACUGCUGAUAUCAUGAUGCUACUUAACUAUCUUCGCAGCACCCCCUCUAGGAAUGGAGAUCCGGGGUUCCCCCCUCUUCUUCGAUACAGAAUCUGCCUACAGCAUCUACAGCAAUCUACAGCAAAUAUGCUGUCCGAAAGAACACGUUAACAUCAAGGGCAACAAGUGCUGAGAUUGUGACGCUGAUGAAAAGGUGGCUGCAGCUGGCUUCAGACCGUGGAGGAGGAUGGAAGAGGUGCAACAAACAGUAGCUUGUCCUGACUAGGAACGCAUAAACCAUUGAAA
Ictalurus punctatus (channel catfish) is the source of this 879-nucleotide long non-coding RNA. RefSeq lists it as uncharacterized. The record is from RefSeq and is a predicted model, not a curated record. The transcript has 3 exons. Lineage: Eukaryota; Metazoa; Chordata; Actinopteri; Siluriformes; Ictaluridae.